RNAcentral lists this unclassified non-coding RNA (240 nucleotides) under soil metagenome. RNAcentral describes it as "partial contains 5.8S ribosomal RNA, internal transcribed spacer 2, and large subunit ribosomal RNA". The record is from RNAcentral.
AACGAGGCCGACCUGCGGCUGAGUUACCUGCGGAAGGAUCAUUACAGAGUUCAUGCCCUCACGGGUAGAUCUCCCACCCUUGAAUACUAUACCUUUGUUGCUUUGGCGGGCCGCUUUGGCUACUGGCUCUGGCUAGUAAGUGCCCGCCAAAGAACCCUAAAACUCUGAAUAUUAGUGUCGUCUGAGUACUAUAUAAUAGUUAAAACUUUCAACAAUGGAUCUCAGAUCGGAAGAGCACAC